Molecule: unclassified non-coding RNA, 113 nt
Organism: Colobus angolensis palliatus
Lineage: Eukaryota; Metazoa; Chordata; Mammalia; Primates; Cercopithecidae
Rfam family: Y RNA
About the family: Y RNAs are components of the Ro ribonucleoprotein particle (Ro RNP), in association with Ro60 and La proteins. The Y RNAs and Ro60 and La proteins are well conserved, but the function of the Ro RNP is not known.
Source: Ensembl
GUUUGGUCCGAAGGUAGUGAGUUACCUUAAUAGAUUGUUCACAGUCAGUUACAGAUGGAAAACCUUGUUCUAUUUUUUCUCCCCUUCUCACUACUGCACUUGACUAGUCUUAA